AGAUCGAAUGGGGAGAUUCAUCGUCAGCUCAUUUUGUAUAUGUAUGANGUUAUGAUGCGAGUUACUCUNUGUAGUAUUGCUUGCACGUACUUGUACGUUUAUUUGCAAGAUGUUGUCGGCGUGCACUUCUCCCCUAGUAGAACGUCGCGACCCGUUGGGUGUUGGUCUACGACCCGAGUGGGAGCCUUUAAUAUUUUNAUAAUAUUAAAGACCCUUGGUGUUUUCUGACCAGCUGCCCGGCGGUACUCGUACGGUAUUUAGCCGCANUUUAUUUNGCGUCCAUGUCCGUCGCAAGCGAGGUCAAUUUCUGGUAGUNGCGGACCUAGUGCCGUCGCUGGGAUUGACCAGCUGUUGGUUGUACGGAAUUCUAGGACUGGCUAAAAUAAU
RNAcentral lists this ribosomal RNA (387 nucleotides) under Heterospilus sp. MAS-2010. RNAcentral's name for it is "eukaryotic LSU rRNA". The record is from RNAcentral. Lineage: Eukaryota; Metazoa; Arthropoda; Insecta; Hymenoptera; Braconidae.